AUUCUAUCCAUCCACUACUUUCUUCUCGUCCAUUCUCGAACGAAGAAACCCUAGAUGUUGACUUCUAAUCUUCUUCCCUCUCUUCCACAGAUUUGCAAAUUAGUCAUGUCUCUAUCUAAGAAAUUCGAAUUUUCAGAAUACCCUUUUGCUCUUCUUCUGCAUUGUUGGUUGACGAUCUUCUUUUUGUAUUGUUAGCCGUUCAAUUUUCUCUAUUCUGUUUGUUCAAACUUGUGUGAAUGCAAAAUGAAUAUAUUUACCACUCAAAACCCAGUACUUUUAGUUUUAAUUUUUAAAUUAUCAAAAAUUAAUUUUUGCAUGUGUGUGCAUAAUUAUUAGUAGGGAUUUGAAUGGAUUAUUUUCGGAGGUUGAAUUGAAAUCUAUUGGAUGAAGAAGAAGUCGGACUGUUGAGGUGUGUGAGCUUAGGUGCCAAAAUUGAGUGAAGGGCUUUCUUCUUUUGGUAGAAUGCUGCUGAACAAAUCACAUUCUCCUUCUUCACGGCAGAAUCCAGUUAAUACUUAUUAUUAAGAGCUUUCGAACGUUUCAUAAUUAUUUUUGAUAAAUCUUUUUCUGUGCUUUUUUCAGGAAGUAAAAAGUCCUCCAACCUCUACCGAUGAUGAUGAAGCCAACGACGAAGAGCGAUAGAUGAGGAGCUCAAACGCGACUGUUUGCAAACGAGUUUGGCAGAAACUCACACAAUCGAAAUUUUUUAUUUGUCUUCAUUUGGAGUUUGUCCAUGUUUUGGAGGGAGUUGUGCAGGUCUGAUUGUGUGUGGAAAGCUCUAUGCAAAGAUGGUUGUUAUGCACGUGAUUUUGAUAAAGAUUCUUCAGCUUUCCAAGAUCAAAAUUUCGAGCUUGACCAGUGAAUGAAUUCCAAUUUAAAGAUUUCAUACAUUCUUGUGGAUUUACUAAUAUGAUGGGCAUAAGAGGAUACAUUAAUGACUUCAGGAAAAAGAAGAUGAAGUUUGAUCCUACUGCAUACUUGAGUACAUACUAUGAGUCAGUAUCUCAUUUACCAACGGGCUACAUGUGAAGUUCCCACAUUGUGCCAAAGCAAAAUGACUGUGGCCGUCUGGUUGAUAUUGUCGACUCUGGCCAUCUGGUUGAUAUUGUUGGUUAUUUUUUUUUAAACUAGCAAUCAAAAUGUCAACCUCCUGAAGAAUUUGCUGAAUGGAUGCAAAAGGGAUUUAGGCCCUUCAACUAAGUUCGUAGAAGAAAUUUCUAAUUAUUAUUAGUAUUUUCACUUAGAAGCAAUUUUUAGUACACAAUGGAACUUUUGUCUCAUAAGAUUUUUUCACAUAUAAGUAAAUUUUUUAGUUAUUACAUUAUUGUUUUA
Long non-coding RNA from Olea europaea var. sylvestris, 1332 nucleotides. RefSeq lists it as uncharacterized. The transcript has 5 exons. The record is from RefSeq and is a predicted model, not a curated record. NCBI's taxonomy places the organism in Eukaryota, Viridiplantae, Streptophyta, Magnoliopsida, Lamiales, Oleaceae.